UUACCUACGGGAGGCAGCAGUGGGGAAUAUUGCACAAUGGGGGAAACCCUGAUGCAGCAACACCGCGUGAGUGAAGAAGGUUUUCGGAUUGUAAAGCUCUGUUGGUAGUGAAGAAAGAUAGAGGUAGUAACUGGCCUUUAUUUGACGGUAAUUACUUAGAAAGUCACGGCUAACUACGUGCCAGCAGCCGCGGUAAUACGUAGGUGGCAAGCGUUGUCCGGAUUUAUUGGGCGUAAAGCGAGUGCAGGCGGUUCAAUAAGUCUGAUUUGAAAGCCUUCGGCUCAACCGGCGAAUUGCAUCAGAAA
This 305-nucleotide ribosomal RNA is filed under the name uncultured bacterium. Its description in RNAcentral is "bacterial SSU rRNA". It matches the Rfam family "Bacterial small subunit ribosomal RNA", at positions 335 to 632 of the family's 1533-position model. The record is from RNAcentral.